AUAAGUAACGAUAAAGCGGGUGAAAAGCCCGCUCGCCGGAAGACCAAGGGUUCCUGUCCAACGUUAAUCGGGGCAGGGUGAGUCGACCCCUAAGGCGAGGCCGAAAGGCGUAGUCGAUGGGAAACGGGUUAAUAUUCCCGUACUUGGUGUUACUGCGAAGGGGGGACGGAGAAGGCUAUGUUGGCCGGGCGACGGUUGUCCCGGUUUAAGCGUGUAGGUGUGUGUUCCAGGUAAAUCCGGUUCACUUUAACACUGAGGCGUGACGACGAGGCACUACGGUGCUGAAGCAACAAAUGCCCUGCUUCCAGGAAAAGCCUCUAAGCAUCAGGUAACAUCAAAUCGUACCCCAAACCGACACAGGUGGUCAGGUAGAGAAUACCAAGGCGCUUGAGAGAACUCGGGUGAAGGAACUAGGCAAAAUGGUGCCGUAACUUCGGGAGAAGGCACGCUGACACGUAGGUGAAGUGAUUUACUCAUGGAGCUGAAGUCAGUCGAAGAUACCAGCUGGCUGCAACUGUUUAUUAAAAACACAGCACUGUGCAAACACGAAAGUGGACGUAUACGGUGUGACGCCUGCCCGGUGCCGGAAGGUUAAUUGAUGGGGUCAGCGCAAGCGAAGCUCCUGAUCGAAGCCCCGGUAAACGGCGGCCGUAACUAUAACGGUCCUAAGGUAGCGAAAUUCCUUGUCGGGUAAGUUCCGACCUGCACGAAUGGCGUAAUGAUGGCCAGGCUGUCUCCACCCGAGACUCAGUGAAAUUGAACUCGCUGUGAAGAUGCAGUGUACCCGCGGCAAGACGGAAAGACCCCGUGAACCUUUACUAUAGCUUGACACUGAACAUUGAGCCUUGAUGUGUAGGAUAGGUGGGAGGCUUUGAAGUGUGGACGCCAGUCUGCAUGGAGCCGACCUUGAAAUACCACCCUUUAAUGUUUGAUGUUCUAACGUGGACCCGUUACCCGGGUUGCGGACAGUGUCUGGUGGGUAGUUUGACUGGGGCGGUCUCCUCCUAAAGAGUAACGGAGGAGCACGAAGGUUGGCUAAUCCUGGUCGGACAUCAGGAGGUUAGUGCAAUGGCAUAAGCCAGCUUGACUGCGAGCGUGACGGCGCGAGCAGGUGCGAAAGCAGGUCAUAGUGAUCCGGUGGUUCUGAAUGGAAGGGCCAUCGCUCAACGGAUAAAAGGUACUCCGGGGAUAACAGGCUGAUACCGCCCAAGAGUUCAUAUCGACGGCGGUGUUUGGCACCUCGAUGUCGGCUCAUCACAUCCUGGGGCUGAAGUAGGUCCCAAGGGUAUGGCUGUUCGCCAUUUAAAGUGGUACGCGAGCUGGGUUUAGAACGUCGUGAGACAGUUCGGUCCCUAUCUGCCGUGGGCGCUGGAGAACUGAGGGGGGCUGCUCCUAGUACGAGAGGACCGGAGUGGACGCAUCACUGGUGUUCGGGUUGUCAUGCCAAUGGCACUGCCCGGUAGCUAAAUGCGGAAGAGAUAAGUGCUGAAAGCAUCUAAGCACGAAACUUGCCCCGA
This 1517-nucleotide ribosomal RNA is filed under the name Salmonella enterica subsp. enterica serovar Enteritidis. RNAcentral describes it as "partial 23S ribosomal RNA". It matches the Rfam family "Bacterial large subunit ribosomal RNA", at positions 1302 to 2802 of the family's 2925-position model. The record is from RNAcentral. Lineage: Bacteria; Pseudomonadati; Pseudomonadota; Gammaproteobacteria; Enterobacterales; Enterobacteriaceae.